This 460-nucleotide ribosomal RNA is filed under the name uncultured Bacteroidota bacterium. Its description in RNAcentral is "bacterial SSU rRNA". It matches the Rfam family "Bacterial small subunit ribosomal RNA", at positions 338 to 795 of the family's 1533-position model. Lineage: Bacteria; Pseudomonadati; Bacteroidota. The record is from RNAcentral.
CCUACGGGUGGCUGCAGUAAGGAAUAUUGGACAAUGGGGGCAACCCUGAUCCAGCCAUGCCGCGUGAAGGAUGAAGGCCCUAUGGGUUGUAAACUUCUUUUAUACGGGACAAAACCCCUCUAUGCGUAGAGGGUUGAUGGUACUGUAAGAAUAAGCAUCGGCUAACUUCGUGCCAGCAGCCGCGGUAAUACGAAGGAUGCAAGCGUUAUCCGGAAUUAUUGGGUUUAAAGGGUGCGUAGGCGGACCUGUAAGUCAGUGGUGAAAGCCUGUUGCUCAACAACAGAACUGCCAUUGAUACUGCAAGUCUUGAGUACAGUUGAGGUAGGCGGAAUGUGUCAUGUAGCGGUGAAAUGCUUAGAUAUGACACAGAACACCGAUUGCGAAGGCAGCUUGCUAAGCUGUAACUGACGCUGAUGCACGAAAGCGUGGGGAGCAAACAGGAUUAGAUACCCUAGUAGUC